RNAcentral lists this long non-coding RNA (2028 nucleotides) under Homo sapiens (human). RNAcentral's name for it is "non-protein coding lnc-FNDC10-1:4". The record is from RNAcentral. Lineage: Eukaryota; Metazoa; Chordata; Mammalia; Primates; Hominidae.
AGCCCAUCCCGUGCGGACCCUACGCCGAGUCCAGCCCGGGGCUGCUGGGCCAGCGGGAGCGGGAACCGGACGGCGCUCGCGUUCUGCCAGAGCGGAGAACGACUCGGGGACGGUGCGGAGGACCAGGGGAGGAGAUCCGCGCCCGCACGCACCAUCAGCCGAGAGGACGGCCCGCAUCGCGCCAGUGACCUAGGAGCGACUCGGGGACGGCUUCGGGCUCCCAGGCCCUCCUGGGCCACCGGGCACUGAGGAGAGCGGCGGCUGGAAACUGUGGGACCCGAAGGGCGGGAGCCCAGGGCCCGCCCCCGCCGGAGCGCCCCCGCCAUGGCCACGCCCCCGCCACGGGGAUGGGCAGGGCAAGCACCGGAAGUGCGUCACGCGGGAGCGUCUGCGUCGCCUACCCUGCGUGGCGCAGCUAGGUUCCGAGCGGCUUAGCCUCCGGGCGCCUGCGCAGUGGCGGUCCUAGAGACGCACUCGGUUGCCAUAGAGACGGGGGCUUGGGAGCGACGUCGCGCUCGCUGGCACUGGCGGCACUUGCCGCGCCGCAGCCACCUCUUUCCGACUCCACCAGUGCGGGCCCUAUCCGGGGUUUUGAGUCACGCAGACCUGGACACAGCGAGAAACGGCAGUCCGGGCCCGUCCUCCCGCCCCGGGUUCUGCACCCCAGAGUUGGACGCUUGCUUCUCGCUUUCUCCUGAGAGAAGUCUCCGCGUUUCUGAACAAUGCACUGCUAGUUUCUCAUUUCUUUCUUUCUUUCUUUUUUUUUUUUUGGAGACGGAGCCUCGCCCUGUCGCCCAGGCUGGAGUGCAAUGGCGCGAUCUCGGCUCAUUGCAACCUCCGCCUCCAGGGCUUAAACUAUUCUCUUGCUUCAGCCUCCCGAGCAGCUGGGACUACAGGCAUGCGCUACCACGCACAGCUAAUUUUUGCAUUUUUAGUCAAGACGGGGUUUCACCAUUUUGGCCAGGCUGAUUUCGAACUCCUGACCUCGUGAUCUGCCCUCCUAGGGCUCCCAACGUGCUGGGAUUAUAGGCGUGAGCCACCGCGCCCGGCCUCUCAUUUCUUAAUUGUAGACAUUGCGUACUUCCGGAGAAGGUCCCUGAGAACCUGGCUGAUCUUCCCCGCUGCACCCCUCACGUGGUCCUGUUAGCUCCCAAACUGUCAACCUGAAAGGAAACCCAGAGGCAGGCUCUCCAGGACAAGUGAGUUAAUCUGGGAAUCGCAGGGGGUUGCAGCCUAGGCUGUUCGUGCCAUGACAGAUCAUAGGCCUAUCUGAGAGGGCCGGGCGAAGGGGAAAAUACAGAUGAGCUCACAAAAGUUGUUUUGUAACAAAAACCACUGGCUGUGGGCGCUUGCUGCAGGAGUGGGCGUUAGCUUGUUGUUGGAGAGAGCCUUACCAGGCCGACGUCCUUGUGCAAGCUGCUUAUCUAGAAUACUGCAGUCCUGAGGAAUUUCCCUGCAGUAAGUCCGGUUACAGGCAAACGUGCAGGACGUGCAGGAGCGUCUUGUGAGGAGGCCUGCUGCAGGUAUUCCUGCAUGAGAGCUCCCCCUUCGUGGCCUCCCGACUCCAUUUGUUUAGGGAUUGGUGGAAGUAGUUCCAUUUUGGUACCUGCAACUUUCACAGCUGUCGUGAUGAAAUCAGGCUUAGCUCUUCAUGAUUGAGUACCUGCUGUUCACUGCUACAGUAUAAAACCAUGCCACAAUUCCUGUACAAUCUUUUUUUUUCUUUUGAGUUAAUAAUUACCUAAUAUUUUCACAUAUCUAGCUUUUUACUAACCCAUGGCCAGCCUUUUUUUCAAGUACCCCAACGUUUUCGCCACAUGCCUAACGAUACCGUUUUCCAAAGGCUCAAACACAUCCGUUGUGUCUAACUGAUUCUCCUGUUCCGACCUAGACCGAUCACUUCCUGACCCGGCUGCACAGCUCUUAUCUCGAGCUUUUCUCUGCUCUCAUCCUUGAGACUCACUUUGUCUGUCUCCUUUCUUGGAUUCCCUGUGUAAACGAAAAAUAAAAUCCUAAGCUCUCUACCAA